CUCCGUCCUAACGUGCCAUAUCUUCGGUCUUCUGGCAUCAAAAUGGAAACCUUUGGACAUUACAUUGGGAGCCAGCGGGAUGGCCCUGCCCCCUAGCACAGAAGAGGAAAACCUCUCUAUCCGAGCCUGCUGGAACGGCUCCCUACGCUGCUCGGCGAGGCGAGCGUCACCCGCGCGAAGACGUGGAGCCGCGCGACCCCGCUGGGCCAACCCCUGACCAGUCCGUCGGCGAGGCGAGCGUCACCCGCGCGAAGACGUGGGGCCGCGCGACCCCGCUGGGCCAACCCCUGACCAGUCCGUCCCGUGAAGGCUUCGCGGCAGCCUCGGGGAGUGACCUCGUGAGGGGAGUUUUGCACGGCUCCUGACGAGGCUUGCUGACUGGCGCCUCGCGCGCCGGGGGCCGUCUCGAGAGCCUUGUCCGUGAGGCUCAAAGGCGGGCCGUGUUGGGCGUGCGGCAUGCGCCGCAUCCAGGGCUGCAGGCAUACAAGCCUGAAUACCCGAGUCUCACAGGCCUGACACCCGCUGCAACUAUCAGUGUAACACCAGUUGCCCUUUAGUAUAACACGGCCAUGGAUUCUCUCAUAUUUGCCGUAAAAGCUAAAAAAAAAAACCACUGACUUAGGCCAUAAGCCCAAUCUUCUGCAGAUAUUGGAAAACCUAGAGAACAAACCCGCCAGUAGCACUUAGGGUAUUAAGCUCAAUCUUCUGCAGAUAUUGGUUUAAAAACUAUAAAACAAACCCAUUAGUAGCAUUUCACUUGUAUGGCCUAAGCCCAAUCUUAAAACCAAUAAAAUGCUGUAGUAAACCAAAUACUGACAUGACAUGAUAAUUAUGUUCAGAAAGGAUAAUGAGGGCUGUCUGUGCAUUAAUUCCUAGUGAAACACAAGCUCACAUGCAUUGUAGUUAGAUAAAUGACCUCAGGAGAUACUUUGGUAAUUAAGAGACCCUUCAGUAUAUGGUUUAAAAUAAAUAAAUCCAGCAGUAGCAAUUCACUUAUGUGGAUUAACCCCAAUAUUCUGCAAAUAUUGACACUAUCAGUGCCAUAUCUAAGGGGGGUUCAGAUGUAAACAAACUUCUAUCUAAACCAUUUAUCUGACGAUCACAGCUACACAGGUACAGGUACACACUGGGAAUGUUGCUCUGGGUACUGCUCCUCUUCCUCCCUAACAACGAAAAACUCUUGCAGGUACCAGAGAAGAACAAAUGCUGUAGUAGACCAAUUACUGAGAUGAUAAAUGGCUUUAGAGAUGAUAAUGAGGCUGCCUGUGCAUUAAUUCCUAGUACUGAACAACAUGCUGACAUGCCUUCUAGUUAAACAUAUGACUUGAGGAAAUAAGCUGGUAAUUAACCAAGAGAACCUAACUGCCUUGAAGCAUCUCAGGACAGAAGAAGGAUUCGGUGCUAAGCCCAAUUAGAAGCAUAUAAAAACAAGUAAUAUGGUUUAAGCCCAGUCUUCUGCAGUUACACAGGUACUACUACACACUGGGAACAUUGAUGUGGGUACUGCUCCUCCCAAACAAGGAAAACUCUUGCAGGUACAGGAAGAAGAAGACUGAUAAAAUGCUGUAGUAGAGCUGCCCUCAGAAGACUGGGCAGCUGACAUGAUAAAUUGCUUCAGAAAUUAUAGUGAGGGCUGCCUGUGCAUUAAUUUCUAAUAAAACACAUGCUGACAUGCCUUGUACUACUACUAGUUAGAUAAAUGUCCUCAGGAGAUGCACUUGGGGUAAUUAUUCG
Hordeum vulgare subsp. vulgare (domesticated barley) is the source of this 1734-nucleotide long non-coding RNA. RefSeq lists it as uncharacterized. The transcript has 2 exons. Lineage: Eukaryota; Viridiplantae; Streptophyta; Magnoliopsida; Poales; Poaceae. The record is from RefSeq and is a predicted model, not a curated record.